RNAcentral lists this ribosomal RNA (116 nucleotides) under Xanthocytophaga flava. RNAcentral describes it as "partial 23S ribosomal RNA". It matches the Rfam family "Bacterial large subunit ribosomal RNA", at positions 1 to 116 of the family's 2925-position model. Lineage: Bacteria; Pseudomonadati; Bacteroidota; Cytophagia; Cytophagales; Rhodocytophagaceae. The record is from RNAcentral.
ACGGAAGUUACAAAGGGCGCAUGGAGGAUGCCUUGGCUCUUGGCGGCGAGGAAGGACGUGCUAAGCUGCGAAAAGCUGCGGGGAGUUGCACAGAAGCUGUGAUCCGCAGAUGUCCG